RNAcentral lists this long non-coding RNA (300 nucleotides) under Phoenix dactylifera (date palm). RNAcentral describes it as "long non-coding RNA (PDAC_LNC004969)". Lineage: Eukaryota; Viridiplantae; Streptophyta; Magnoliopsida; Arecales; Arecaceae. The record is from RNAcentral.
AAGCCUCGAACUUGGAGCGUCGCGUCUUAAAAUCCGCUCACAAGAAGACGAGAAACCGGCGAAGUCGAGAGCAAACAAAGAACCUAUCGGUGUUCCAAGGUUUUAUAAGGGUUUUAGAAGCUCGAGACCUCAGUGAGGUUUUUGCUUCUCAGGAAGAACAAGGUUGCGGUCUUGUCUUCCGUCUUGGCUCGAUCAAAAGCUCGAUUUCCAAUAGAAAAAUCGUAGCCUUGCUCGACAAGAUUUCUUGUUGUAUCUUGCUCUAUUGUUUUGGAGCUUGGAAGUCGAAUUUAUAAUGAUCAG